GACGAACGCUGGCGGCGUGCCUAAUACAUGCAAGUCGAACGCAGUGGGGACGGGUGAGUAACACGUGGGUAACCUCCCAUCAGAGGGGAUAACACUUGGAAACAGGUUCUAUACCGAUACUGCUGGAUGUACCCGCGGUGCAUUAGCUGGUUGGUGCGGUACCGGCUCACAAGGGCAACGAUGCAUAGCCGACCUGAGAGGGGGAUCGGCCACACUGGGACUGAGACACGGCCCAGACUCCUACGGGAGGCAGGAGUAGGGAAUCUGCGGCAAUGGACGAAAGUCUGACCGAGCAACGCCGCGUGAGUGAAGAAGGUUUGCGGAUCGUAAAACUCUGUUGUUAGAGAAGCGGUAUCUAACCAGAAAGCCACGGCUAACUACGUGCCAGCCGCCGCGGUAAUUC
RNAcentral lists this ribosomal RNA (403 nucleotides) under uncultured bacterium. RNAcentral describes it as "partial 16S ribosomal RNA". It matches the Rfam family "Bacterial small subunit ribosomal RNA", at positions 28 to 526 of the family's 1533-position model. The record is from RNAcentral.